Molecule: long non-coding RNA, 1578 nt
Organism: Oncorhynchus tshawytscha (Chinook salmon)
Lineage: Eukaryota; Metazoa; Chordata; Actinopteri; Salmoniformes; Salmonidae
Source: Ensembl
GUCAAGACUCUUGAAUGAGUGGUGUAGGCAAAUGAGAAAAAGAUGAAGACAAUGGUUACAUUUAUGUCGGGAAAAAUACGCCCCAAAUGGGUUGGUAAUGCUUGUUAUAAAGACGGCGAGUGUGGCUGAGAGGUUUCCCAAGUCACGAGAAGUUUGCAAGGGAAGUGGACGGGCGUCUCAAGCAGUAUCAUUUGAUGCUGCAUUCUCAGAUUCCAUGACGUUGGUCUCCAGUGUUCUGUGGGGGGGAAAUGGCUGCAUCGCAAUGAAUGCCAACUCCUGCAAGUGUUCAGCCAAUCGGUUCUGCUGCUCGAUGGCAGGGGCCAUUUUAAUUUGUCUGUUUGCUGCCAUUGUGGCAACAUAAGUUCUGCUGGGUGAGUUGUGAAAUCAAUUAUUUUGAUCCAUUAGUACCAUCUAAUGACUAAUUAUCCAGUCCAAGGAUUUCAUGUCACUUGACAUGUGUACUUACACCAUGAUGACCUAGUUAUGUUAAUAUAUAACUUGCUACAGCUGUCAGUGAUUCUGCUUAACAUACAUUGCUUGAGUAAUUACUAUGAUAACUCACAUUACCAUCUGAGACAGUGGAUAUUAUAGUGGUCCUGUGUACUUGUCCAUGUUUCAAUAUGUAAUCAUGGAUUUCUCUGCAUUCAGGCCACAAGGUGGUUGUUGAGGGUGUCAACAUCUUUGGAACAAAUGUAAGUAAUUUACACUUUGUAUUUGUGACAUUCGCAUUUUUGAUGUACUUGUGUUAUGGGAUAAUGCCUGUAGCGCGUCUAUGAUGAUUGCGAUUUCGGUUCCUGAAUUAAACUGAUGCUUUCUCGCAGCGCACUGAGACACAAAUGCCAAAUAUCAAGAGCAUGUGAAUGAAUUAGUCUUGAAUCUGUCAUUCACUACAUGAUCACUUGCACUGAUAAGAUUAUAUAGGUUGGUUUCCCCAGUGACCUUAUUGUUUCAACGGAGUAGCUGAUAAAUCCAAUUGGGUUAGAUGUUUUCAUAUGUACAUUGUAAUGGAGGUAGUAAUUGCUGCUCUUUCCUUUCUUGAGGUUGAGUGUUGCUCCUUUGCCCUGCCCAGACUGCGGACUCCAGGAUUACUUGUAUAAGUUGACAGGUCAGUACAGAAGGUGGUUGUUUCCUUGCUGUGUUGGUGCCAUGGUGUCUCUUUGAAUAUACUAGUUGACGGUGUCUGAUUACCAUUAAGCUCCUUCAAUGCACUGACACUGCAGUUUGUUUUAAGUUCCUAAUCAUGUUAUGUGUGUAACUGACACAUUUGUCUUUUUAGGACUUGGAGGAUCCUGAAAUAGAUGGGAGAUUCUUCAAGAGCUUCAGUUGUGAAAUGAAAUGCUUAACGUAGGCAUUUAGUUGAUUGGGGGACUUUGCUGUAUGCAUGAACAAUUUAUCUUGGCUUUGAUUCCCUGAAGUUGCCAAGACUACAAUCAAGGAAUUUCGUUGGCGAUAUCCGACACCUUCCUACCAAAGGCUAACACUCUGACAACUGCUGUAAAAAGGAUAUGUAAUUGAAAGUCAAUUGCCACUUAUCAUGCAAUUAGUGCUUGCAGUGUUUGAAUAAAAAAAAUGGAGUCA